This 28-nucleotide non-coding RNA is filed under the name Homo sapiens (human). Lineage: Eukaryota; Metazoa; Chordata; Mammalia; Primates; Hominidae. The record is from RNAcentral.
UGCCUUUCUGUAGGCUGGUGUUGUUGCC